RNAcentral lists this ribosomal RNA (504 nucleotides) under uncultured Glomus. RNAcentral describes it as "SSU rRNA". It matches the Rfam family "Eukaryotic small subunit ribosomal RNA", at positions 569 to 1078 of the family's 1831-position model. The record is from RNAcentral. Lineage: Eukaryota; Fungi; Glomeromycota; Glomeromycetes; Glomerales; Glomeraceae.
AGCAGCCGCGGUAAUUCCAGCUCCAAUAGCGUAUAUUAAAGUUGUUGCAGUUAAAAAGCUCGUAGUUGAAUUUCGGGAUCAAUUUAUUGGUCGUGCUAUUGUACGUACUGGUAUUAUUGAUUCCUACCUUCUGACGAACCAUGAUGUCAUUAAUUUGGUGUCAUGGGGAAUCAGGACUGUUACUUUGAAAAAAUUAGAGUGUUUAAAGCAGGCUCACGCUUGAAUACAUUAGCAUGGAAUAACGAAAUAGGACGUUUGAUUCUAUUUUGUUGGUUUCUAGGAUCGACGUAAUGAUUAAUAGGGAUAGUUGGGGGCAUUAGUAUUCAAUUGUCAGAGGUGAAAUUCUUGGAUUUAUUGAAGACUAACUACUGCGAAAGCAUUUGCCAAGGAUGUUUUCAUUAAUCAAGAACGAAAGUUAGGGGAUCGAAGACGAUCAGAUACCGUCGUAGUCUUAACCAUAAACUAUGCCGACUAGGGAUCGGAUGAUGUUAAUUUUUUAAUGUA